Molecule: ribosomal RNA, 869 nt
Filed under: uncultured archaeon
Lineage: Archaea
Description: bacterial SSU rRNA
Rfam family: Archaeal small subunit ribosomal RNA
Source: RNAcentral
CUCCGGUUGAUCCCGCCGGAUCCGACUGCUAUCAGAGUGGGACUAAGCCAUGCGAGUCAACAUAGCAAUAUGUGGCAUACGGCUCAGUAACACGUAGUCAACAUGCCCAGGGGACGUGGAUAACCUCGGGAAACUGAGGAUAAACCGCGAUAGGUCAUCACUUCUGGAAUGGGUAAUGACUCAAAUCUACAUGGCCCCUGGAUUGGACUGCGGCCGAUCAGGCUGUUGGUGAGGUAAUGGCCCACCAAACCUGUAACCGGUACGGGCUCUGAGAGGAGGAGCCCGGAGAUGGGCACUGAGACAAGGGCCCAAGCCCUAUGGGGCGCAGCAGGCGCGAAACCUCUGCAAUAGGCGAAAGCCUGACAGGGUUACUCUGAGUGAUUUCCGUUAAGGAGAUCUUUUGGCACCUCUAAAAAUGGUGCAGAAUAAGGGGUGGGCAAGUCUGGUGUCAGCCGCCGCGGUAAUACCAGCACCCCGAGUGGUCGGGACGUUUAUUGGGCCUAAAGCAUCCGUAGCCGGUUCUACAAGUCUUCCGUUAAAUCCACCUGCUUAACAGAUGGGCUGCGGAAGAUACUAUAGAGCUAGGAGGCGGGAGAGGCAAGCGGUACUCGAUGGGUAGGGGUAAAAUCCGUUGAUCCAUUGAAGACCACCAGUGGCGAAGGCGGCUUGCCAGAACGCGCUCGACGGUGAGGGAUGAAAGCUGGGGGAGCAAACCGGAUUAGAUGCCCGGGUAGUCCCAGCUGUAAACGAUGCAGACUCGGUGAUGAGUUGGCUUAUUGCUAACUCAGUGCCGCAGGGAAGCCGUUAAGUUUGCCGCCUGGGGAGUACGGUGCGCAAGACUGAAACUUAAAGGAAUUGGCGGGGGAGCA